Molecule: ribosomal RNA, 429 nt
Filed under: uncultured bacterium
Lineage: Bacteria
Description: bacterial SSU rRNA
Rfam family: Bacterial small subunit ribosomal RNA
Source: RNAcentral
UGGGGAAUAUUGGACAAUGGGGGCAACCCUGAUCCAGCAAUGCCGCGUGUGUGAAGAAGGCCUUCGGGUUGUAAAGCACUUUAGGUAGGGAAGAAGAAUUGAAGUUUAAGAGAUGUCAAUUUUGACGGUACCUGCAGAAUAAGCACCGGCUAACUCUGUGCCAGCAGCCGCGGUAAUACAGAGGGUGCGAGCGUUAAUCGGAAUUACUGGGCGUAAAGGGCGCGUAGGCUGUUAUAUAAGUGAGAUGUGAAACCCCUGGGCUUAACCUAGGACCUGCAUUUUAGACUGUAUGACUUGAGUGCUGUAGAGGGUAGUGGAAUUUCCGGUGUAGCGGUGAAAUGCGUAGAUAUCGGAAGGAACACCAGUGGCGAAGGCGGCUACCUGGACAGACACUGACGCUGAGGCGCGAGAGCGUGGGUAGCAAACAGG